GUGGGGAAUAUUGGACAAUGGGCGCAAGCCUGAUCCAGCCAUGCCGCGUGAGUGAUGAAGGCCUUAGGGUUGUAAAGCUCUUUCAGUAGGGAAGAUAAUGACGGUACCUACAGAAGAAGCCCCGGCUAACUUCGUGCCAGCAGCCGCGGUAAUACGAAGGGGGCUAGCGUUGUUCGGAUUUACUGGGCGUAAAGCGCACGUAGGCGGUUUGUUAAGUCAGGGGUGAAAUCCCGGAGCUCAACUCCGGAACUGCCUUUGAUACUGGCAAGCUAGAGUCCGGAAGAGGUAAGUGGAACUCCUAGUGUAGAGGUGGAAUUCGUAGAUAUUAGGAAGAACACCAGUGGCGAAGGCGGCUUACUGGUCCGGAACUGACGCUGAGGUGCGAAAGCGUGGGGAGCAAACAGGAUUAGAUACCCGGGUAGUCC
RNAcentral lists this ribosomal RNA (425 nucleotides) under uncultured bacterium. RNAcentral's name for it is "partial 16S ribosomal RNA". It matches the Rfam family "Bacterial small subunit ribosomal RNA", at positions 354 to 796 of the family's 1533-position model. The record is from RNAcentral.